This is an RNA transcript of Dromiciops gliroides (monito del monte), 820 nucleotides long. It is a transcript of the gene named CXXC motif containing zinc binding protein, with no coding region annotated. The transcript has 9 exons. The record is from RefSeq and is a predicted model, not a curated record. Lineage: Eukaryota; Metazoa; Chordata; Mammalia; Microbiotheria; Microbiotheriidae.
CGUGCCGGUGCUGCGUGCGCAGGCAGGGCAGUGCUUUUACGCCAGGCCGGAAAGCAGCGCGCCCUCAGUGACCAUCGCGGUUCCGGCCAGCCAUGGGGAGGAUCGGGUUGCAGCUCAAGGCCACCCUGGAGAACGUGACACACCUACGGCCCGUGGGUGACGACUUCCGCUGGUACCUCAAGAUGAAAUGCGGCAAUUGCGGGGAGGUGUCGGAGAAGUGGCAGUAUCUCCGGCUGAUGGACAGUGUUCCCCUGAAGGGGGGCCGGGGCUCUGCAACGAUGGUGCAGAAAUGCAAGCUCUGCUCCCGGGACAAUUCCAUUGAUAUUCUGAGCAACAGCAUCAAGCCGUACAACGCUGAAGACAGUGAGAAGUUCAAAACAAUCGUGGAGUUUGAAUGUCGGGGCCUGGAGCCAGUGGACUUUCAACCCCAGGCUGGCUUUGCUGCCGAGGGCGCAGAGACCGGGACGACUUUCAGUGACAUCAAUCUGCUUGAAAAGGACUGGACAGACUAUGAUGAAAAAGCCCAGGAGUCGGUGGGAAUCUUUGAGGUCACUCAUCAGUUUGUGAAAUGCUGAAAGAAACUGCCUCUGGCCGCCAUGACCACCGUGCACAGGUCGGCCUGUGGCCCGGCCUGGCCCAGCCUGUCAUUGUAGCUUCCCGGCUGCAACAAUAAAGACCAGGAAGCUGAAGCCCAGAGGAAUGAAGUGCCAAGCUGGGGCUGAGCCCCAGCUCUUGGAUUCCCAGCCACCAUCCUCUACCCACAGUAUCCCAUGGGGGCACUUUUUUUUUUUUAAAUAAAGAAAACAAUGGGAAAAUAGGA